Molecule: ribosomal RNA, 171 nt
Filed under: Xenostrobus pulex
Lineage: Eukaryota; Metazoa; Mollusca; Bivalvia; Mytilida; Modiolidae
Description: partial 28S ribosomal RNA
Rfam family: Eukaryotic large subunit ribosomal RNA
Source: RNAcentral
CUCCGACCUCAGAUCAGACGAGAGUACCCGCUGAAUUUAAGCAUAUCACUAAGCGGAGGAAAAGAAACUAACUAGGAUUCCCCUAGUAAUGGCGAAUGAAGCGGGAAGAGCCCAGCACCGAAUCCCGCAGCCUUGCGCUGCAGGGAACUGUGGUGUUUAGGACGCCUAUUG